RNAcentral lists this ribosomal RNA (560 nucleotides) under Chaetomium sp. 9014. Its description in RNAcentral is "eukaryotic LSU rRNA". It matches the Rfam family "Eukaryotic large subunit ribosomal RNA", at positions 62 to 648 of the family's 3401-position model. Lineage: Eukaryota; Fungi; Ascomycota; Sordariomycetes; Sordariales; Chaetomiaceae. RNAcentral also lists the same sequence under 4 other names. The record is from RNAcentral.
AAACCAACAGGGAUUGCCCUAGUAACGGCGAGUGAAGCGGCAACAGCUCAAAUUUGAAAUCUGGCUUCGGCCCGAGUUGUAAUUUGCAGAGGAAGCUUUAGGCGCGGCACCUUCUGAGUCCCCUGGAACGGGGCGCCAUAGAGGGUGAGAGCCCCGUAUAGUUGGAUGCCUAGCCUGUGUAAAGCUCCUUCGACGAGUCGAGUAGUUUGGGAAUGCUGCUCAAAAUGGGAGGUAAAUUUCUUCUAAAGCUAAAUACCGGCCAGAGACCGAUAGCGCACAAGUAGAGUGAUCGAAAGAUGAAAAGCACUUUGAAAAGAGGGUUAAACAGCACGUGAAAUUGUUGAAAGGGAAGCGCUUGUGACCAGACUUGCGCCAGGCUGAUCAUCCGGUGUUCUCACCGGUGCACUCGGCCCGGCACAGGCCAGCAUCGGUUCUCGCGGGGGGAUAAAGGUCUCGGGAACGUAGCUCCUCCGGGAGUGUUAUAGCCCGGGGCGUAAUGCCCUCGCGGGGACCGAGGUUCGCGCAUCUGCAAGGAUGCUGGCGUAAUGGUCAUCAGCGAC